GGGCGAUUAGCUCAGUUGGUUAGAGCACCGUACUCACACUGCGGGGGUCGUUGGUUCGAGUCCAAUAUCGCCCA
RNAcentral lists this transfer RNA (74 nucleotides) under Pirellula staleyi DSM 6068. Its description in RNAcentral is "tRNA-Val (CAC) (tRNA-Val-CAC-1-1)". It matches the Rfam family "tRNA". From Rfam's summary of the family: Transfer RNA (tRNA) molecules are approximately 80 nucleotides in length. The record is from Rfam by way of RNAcentral. Lineage: Bacteria; Pseudomonadati; Planctomycetota; Planctomycetia; Pirellulales; Pirellulaceae.